RNAcentral lists this ribosomal RNA (300 nucleotides) under uncultured bacterium. Its description in RNAcentral is "bacterial SSU rRNA". It matches the Rfam family "Bacterial small subunit ribosomal RNA", at positions 30 to 329 of the family's 1533-position model. The record is from RNAcentral.
AUUGAACGCUGGCGGCAUGCCUUACACAUACAAGUCGAACGGCAGCACGGGAGCAAUCCUGGUGGCGAGUGGCGAACGGGUGAGUAAUAUAUCGGAACGUGCCCGGUCGUGGGGAUAACGUAGCGAAAGCUACGCUAAUACCGCAUACGAUCUACGGAUGAAAGCGGGGGAUCGCAAGACCUCGCGCGAUUGGAGCGGCCGAUAUCAGAUUAGGUAGUUGGUGAGGUAAAGGCUCACCAAAGCCGACGAUCUGUAGCUGGUCUGACGAGGACGACCAGCCACACUGGGACUGAGACACGG